AACCAGGAUUGCCCCAGUAACGGCGAGUGAAGCGGCAACAGCCCACACUGAAAAUCGCUUCGGCGAGUUGUACAGUGAAGACGUAGCUCUUGCGGAAGGCGGCCUCUGUAACUUCCUUGGAACAGGAGACCAGAGAGGGUGAUAGUCCCGUGCCAGAGGCUGCUGAUCGAUAGAGCGCGUUCUAAGAGUCGGGUAGUUUGG
RNAcentral lists this ribosomal RNA (201 nucleotides) under uncultured Dinobryon. RNAcentral's name for it is "partial Eukaryotic large subunit ribosomal RNA". It matches the Rfam family "Eukaryotic large subunit ribosomal RNA", at positions 67 to 277 of the family's 3401-position model. The record is from RNAcentral. Lineage: Eukaryota; Chrysophyceae; Chromulinales.